This 255-nucleotide ribosomal RNA is filed under the name uncultured bacterium. Its description in RNAcentral is "partial 16S ribosomal RNA". It matches the Rfam family "Bacterial small subunit ribosomal RNA", at positions 524 to 776 of the family's 1533-position model. The record is from RNAcentral.
UACGAAGGGGGCAAGCGUUGUUCGGAAUUACUGGGCGUAAAGGGCGCGCAGGCGGCCGAUCAAGUCAGAUGUGAAAGCCCCGGGCUCAACCUGGGAAUAGCAUUUGGGACUGGUCGGCUAGAGUUCGGGAGAGGAGAGUGGAAUUCCCAGUGUAGAGGUGAAAUUCGUAGAUAUCGGGAAGAACACCCGUGGCGAAGGCGGCUCUCUGGGACGGUACUGACGCUGAGACGGCGAAAAGCGUGGGGAGCGAACAGG